GACGAACCGUGCGAACGUUGUUCGGAAUCACUGGGCUUAAAGGGCGCGUAGGCGGGCGGUCCAGUCAGGGGUGAAAUCUUUCGGCUCAACCGGAAAAGUGCCCCUGAUACUGACCGGCUCGAGGGGUGUAGGGGCAUGCGGAACUUCCGGUGGAGCGGUGAAAUGCGUAGAUAUCGGAAGGAACGCCGGUGGCGAAAGCGGCGUGCUGGACACCUACUGACGCUGAGGCGCGAAAGCCAGGGGAGCAAACGGG
Molecule: ribosomal RNA, 253 nt
Filed under: uncultured bacterium
Lineage: Bacteria
Description: partial 16S ribosomal RNA
Rfam family: Bacterial small subunit ribosomal RNA
Source: RNAcentral